UCGCGGAUCAGCAUGCCGCGGUGAAUACGUUCCCGGGCCUUGUACACACCGCCCGUCACACCAUGAGAGUUUGUAACACCCAAAGUCGGUGGGGUAACCUUUUAGGAACCAGCCGCCUAAGGUGGGACAGAUGAUUAGGGUGAAGUCGUAACAAGGUAGCCGUAGGAGAACCUGCGGCUGGAUCACCUCCUUUCUAAGGAA
This 201-nucleotide ribosomal RNA is filed under the name Lactobacillus delbrueckii subsp. bulgaricus. Its description in RNAcentral is "partial 16S ribosomal RNA". It matches the Rfam family "Bacterial small subunit ribosomal RNA", at positions 1342 to 1533 of the family's 1533-position model. The record is from RNAcentral. Lineage: Bacteria; Bacillati; Bacillota; Bacilli; Lactobacillales; Lactobacillaceae. RNAcentral also lists the same sequence under 1 other name.